GCAAAUAUAGUUUAAACAAAACAUUAGAUUGUGAAUCUAAAUAUAGGAGUUCAAAUCCCCUUAUAUGCC
Molecule: transfer RNA, 69 nt
Filed under: Antechinus flavipes (yellow-footed antechinus)
Lineage: Eukaryota; Metazoa; Chordata; Mammalia; Dasyuromorphia; Dasyuridae
Description: tRNA-His
Rfam family: tRNA
About the family: Transfer RNA (tRNA) molecules are approximately 80 nucleotides in length. Their secondary structure includes four short double-helical elements and three loops (D, anti-codon, and T loops).
Source: RNAcentral